Long non-coding RNA from Brienomyrus brachyistius, 8803 nucleotides. RefSeq lists it as uncharacterized. The record is from RefSeq and is a predicted model, not a curated record. The transcript is spliced from 2 exons. Lineage: Eukaryota; Metazoa; Chordata; Actinopteri; Osteoglossiformes; Mormyridae.
UUUAUAGUUUUUUUUUGCGCGAAGAAAUGUUUUGCCUGUUUGUUUUAAAUGUAUACCCACGUAAGCUGUACCCAAAUGUAAAUUAGCAUAUGUUCAGAAGAAAUGUGGUUUAUCCAGUGCAUUGAGAAGCAAUGUGGAAGUGAAACGCUAGCCUUCUAUGCAUUGUUAUUGUCGUUUUAAAACUAACUCAGAAGUCAUCGCCAAAGUGUGUGUGUGAAAGUAAUUUUGGUGGGGGGUAUUACAGCAGAUGAGCUUGCUGUUAACUCUUGGUCGAAGAUAACAGACACUAUGGGGCAAUAGAGCUCAAACGCUUUUUAAAGCGUUUUAGUUGACGAGAACUGAAGGAGGCACGUUAAUCCGACAAGAGUUGGCCAAUUUCCGUCUGGGUCAGAAAUGUGAAGUUCACGCAACUUGUCAUUUCGCUAUAGUGAGUGUUCUAUCGCUGAGAAUAUGCGCGCGCAAUCGGACACUCCUCGCAGUAAUUACAUAUAAUACACAUAUUUUUACUUUACACCUGCUGACUGCUUCUAUAUUUCUACGUUAUGUAUACACUAAAUAUACACAGAGGCAAAUAUAUAUUUUCCACACCCGAUAUUAAGAUACAACCUUAUAUCUAAGUAACAGCAUGAAACGGAACGCUUUUUAGCAUGGUCCUAAGAUGUGACAGAUAUCAGAUGAGGGAAGUCCGAGUAGUUCAGGGCCCCAAAAAAGCCAUAUGGAAUCUCCCCAUCCCCAUAGGAAAUGAUGACAAGCCACUUUCAUCAUGACAUUUAGGGAACAGUCACCAAUCACUGGCAACUUAAAGCACUCAUCCUGGUGGGUGUUUACAGUGUGUGGAGAAAUUAAUUUCAACAUCAGGAGAGUACCAGUCUGGGGCCUUGACUGGGAUUCUUAAUCUCAUCCUGAUUCUCCCCAUUGGCAAAAAAAAAGGUGAUUUGAACUCUUCAGAUCAAAUAUAAGUCUCUUAACUCCAUAACGGUCCAGCAGUCUUGAUGCAGGGGAUUUCUUGAGCCACCAGAUAAACCCACAGAUACUCUCACAGCACCUUUGUGCUGUCAGCAGUGUGUCUCACAGCCUGUGCUUUGUCUUUCCAUAUCAAUUAUGCAAGGGCAGAAGAGUAAAACUGUUUAGCCGAUCUGUGUUUAAUCUCAAAGCCAAAAUCUAAACAAAACCCCCCUUCCUGAUUUUUUUAAAUUGUUUGCCUAAAUCAGCAUGAUGGGAUUCGGUCCAAACUAACCAUUGUUAUACGGACUCUUCUGUCACCAGGGUUUCCAGACACUCUAGGAAUCUUAAUGCGAGGAAGCACGAUGGCUGUUUAUAGUCCGUAUCAGACAUGUUCUGGGGGAAAAUGCUCUCUGGACCACAAUAACACAGUGGCAGCAUUAAGUGAAGGACUUGGAGUUGAAUUCUCUCACUGUGGCAGUUCUGCAGAUCAGCCAAGGUGUUGUGGUAAGAGAUUAUGUUAAGUGUUACCAAAUUUCCCAAAUCACUUGGUACCGUGCAAGUUUGUAGAGUCGCCUUUUCACCGGAAUAAUUACGGCUAUGUUCAGUAUCUGGCUGACAGGUCAGCUGCUUCCUCAGGCCCAGUUUCUCCAUGGGCCCAGUUCCGUAACCAGCAGACUUCUACGUCUCCUUGUGUCCAUUCCCCAAAUCACAGAGGAAGGUUUGUUUGUUUGUUUACAAUUGCUGAAUUAGCUCCUUGGCACCUUCGCUCAGCUGCACGAAUCCGGUGCUCCAUCUGGCUUCCGAAUCGCCACAUUGGCAGCAUUGAUCAUGGUUACCAUGGGAAUGCUGUCAUGUGACCCGCUCCGACCCAUAUGGUAAUGAAUGAAACACAUUAAUCAAGAUUUGCCUGAACUUGUAAAGUAAAUGGUUGGAGCAGCAAAGGAAAUAGUUGCCCCCCCCCCUCUACCCUCCAGCUACAUAUGUGCCUAAAUUUAUUCUGGACACCCAGUAGCAUCCAAAAGAAUAGCACAGGAGGAACUAGAGGAGCAACUAAUCUCAUCACGCAGCCUAUUUUCAGCCUAAAUGUCUUUCACCAAAUAUAUUACAGCGUGUCACGAGAAACAUUCCAGAAUGGUUGAGUGUUUUAUUGCAGUUGGAAUCCACCGACCUGCACUAAAAACAGGCUCUUAAACACUGAUAAUUUCUCUGACCUCUGAGUUGGUGGUUUAUUGGUUUUCUGGAAGCAAAUAGGAUAAUGUGGGUCCAACGAAUAUGCCCUUAAGAAAGUUCAGGCCCAGAUUUGCUCCUCUGAAUCAGGUCCCACAGGACAGUGGCCCAGGAAACCAGUGUCAUGGAAAAUAGCUGUUAAAAAUGCAGUCAUACGAAAGGCAAAGCUAAGGUGAGCUAUUUUGUGGGUGACUGUAAUCACCCCUCAGAAAUUAUACAGACUGCUGUAUCAAGCUAAUGUUUAACACAUGUCAAUGUUAGUCAUUUCAUUGUAUAUCAUUAAAUGAACCUUGAUCUUGUUUUUGAGGGCAAGCGGAAGGAGUUUUGUUUUUUGGCUACGGUGCGUGUCAGCUGAUGUGUGGCUGAUUUCUCAGGAACCACGGCUCCCGUCCCCAGCAUACAUGCUGUGCUGACAGCGCUCCCUGUGCGAACCACGUCUGGAUCCACAAACAGCAAUUUAUCACCAUUUGCUUUUUACGGCGCUCAGAAAUGUUCUGAGGGAAACAAACAUACAAAGUGGCAAAGGAGGAGUUUGAAUCGUGUCUCAGGCAUGUUCUGAUUGUUUCCCAGGUAACUCCACUAAAUAAAAACAGCCUCCUUUCUUAAAAUCUCGCCCGGUGAUUUAAGGUAGUCUGCAAGAAUAUCCCCCUGAGCCUAUCCUAUUUAAGAGAGAUUUUACUUCUCAUCCGAUGAUGUGCAAGGCCUCAUCAGAUAACUAACUGUCAGCGCUUGCCCAAGAAUGUUUUCUAAACCUCUUUUUAAAAUAUGUGUCAGAAAAGCCACACACCUUGAAUGGACAGAUCCAGGUCCCAUCUGUUACGUUCACGUAACAUUGUGUUAAUGUUGUGGAAGCAUCAGCACCGUGAGACUGGCUCCGGUCUCGGCGUGUUUCCACCCAGCACCGUGAGACAGGCUCCGGUCUCGGCGUGUUUUCACCCGGCACCGUGAGACAGGCACCGGUCUCGGCGUGUUUCCACCCGGCACCGUGAGACAGGCUCCGGUCUCGGCGUGUUUCCACCCGGCACCGUGAGACAGGCUCCGGUCUCGGCGUGUUUCCACCCGGCACCGUGAGACAGGCUCCGGUCUCGGCGUGUUUCCACCCGGCACCGUGAGACAGGCUCCGGUCUCGGCGUGUUUCCACCCGGCACCGUGAGACAGGCUCCGGUCUCGGCGUGUUUCCACCCGGCACCGUGAGACAGGCUCCGAUCUCGGCGUGUUUUCACCCAGCACCGUGAGACAGGCUCCGGUCUCGGCGUGUUUUCACCCAGCACCGUGAGACAGGCUCCGGUCUCGGCGUGUUUCCACCCAGCACCGUGAGACAGGCUCCGGUCUCGGCGUGUUUCCACCCAGCACCGUGGCACGUUUCUGUUUUAAUCCUGUUUUUUUCUGGAAUUUAGGGCAGAACAUUAGAAUGGUACAGUAAGACCUGUGGUGAGCUUCUGGCUGCCAGUAAACAUCAUGCAGAUCAUCUCUAAACCCAUCUGUAGGUCUUCCCCUAAGCCAGGUGGUAUUUCCCUAAUAUACCUCCGAAGCACUCAGAGUCUGUAGUGAGCCAUUACAUAAUCGCGUCAUUAUCUUUGAAACAUUGGCUGAUGUUGGGGGCCUGUAUGUGGUUUGUGUGCAGCCUUGUAGCAUUACAGGAUUAGACAGAAUGGGAAGGGCUCCCUUUAGGUAAAACUUCUCUGCAGCCACUUUUGCUGUUGGGCCAUAAAUAUGCCUUUGACGAGGAUAAUUAUAAAGUCUUUCCCCAGACAGUGUAGUCAAGGUUUGCUGCUCACUCCAAUUACGGCACAUCAUUUGGGGUAUAUGAAGAAGCUCCCCCCCCCCCCCCCAACACUGAAACACGUUCAUCCUGUUUCAUGUUGCCAGAUAAACACCUCCACACCUAAGCAUUCCUUGUCUGUGCAUGUGAUUUUUCCAUUGUUCUUGAACAGGACACAAGGGUAUUCCUGUCGCCAAUCUAGGUUCAGAGUUCCGGGGUUAAAGAGUUUCAGUUUCCAGGUUCCAUGUUCUGAGCUUCUAUAUUCCGUUGGGAUGAGAAGGGUUUGUUUUCUUUUUUUUGCAUGUGGCGCCACAGUAGGUCUGACUCUUUUCAUUCUAUUCAUGUGUGUUUGGCACAUUGAAGUGUACUACAGAAUCUCUAGGAGAUUAACCUAUAAUAGGACUGAAUUCUAGCCCUGCCCCUUGUUUAACUUCUGGAAUGUGAAUGGCCUAGCUGUUGAAAUGAUCGGCCCCUGUAUGAUUUCUCCAUCAUGUUCUGUGCCCUGCAAUCAUGCCUUUAGUUGCUGAGCGCAGUGAUGCUACCUGGGAUCGUUACGAUCAAAGGCCACCAUUGCCGUCGCGUGUGUCUGGAACAUGACGCAAAUCUGUUUCCGUCUGUGCUUGUGACGUAAUCCGUGGCCUGAUUUGUCCCGCUCAUGUUGCAGUCAGGUGCCAGCUUCCCUCCACCCCCUUACUCCCAGCCCCCACUUGCCCUUUCCCCCCCCCCUGCCAUUUUGGGCAACAGCCUGCUAAGGGCAGAGAAACCGGGAUGAUCCUCUUCGUCUCUCGCUGUCUAGACCCAGGGGCCAAAAAAAGCCAGCGUGUGGCCCUGGGUGCCACAAGAAUGUGACUGGCUGAAUCUCCGGCCGAGCUGGGAUCUCCCUGCUGAACUGGAUGUGUUCCCUUCGCAGCUGUCUGACAGGUGGACCCGGUUCCUCUGUCGAGGAUGUGCUAUGAAGUCUAAACCAUUCAUCACAGCCACGGGGGACAAUGACUUUCUAACACAUCAAGGACUCUCAGUCCCUUUUCCUCCUAUUUAUUCCCUUCGUGUGUUUCCAAACAACCAACUUGAUUUUAAGCAAUGGCAGGAUAUGGACCAAAACAAUAACAAGAGGAAGGGCAGUAGGUCCCCCCCCCACCCCAAAUCACUUGGUUUGGCCCGUUACAUCACAAAGAGAUUGGCAUACCUGGAACAUUUACGUAAUGUCUAAUCCACUCACACGGCUCAAUAUUUCAUGUGAAAUUUAACUUGGGUGAUCUACUCUGCUGGCCAAUCAGCAGAGGCUUGCCCAAGACUAAAGCAAUGACCGUUCCUGUCCACAGCCACCCUGAUCCUUAACCUGUGGCAGCAAGAAAUCACCAUGGUGUCCGGGAACGGAUGUGCAAGCUGACAAGGGACAGCAGAGUGGGAUUUCUUUCCCAGCGGAUGUCACACAGCAAAUUAGGCAUCAUGUGCGAUUUUCUUCAUUACAUGUGGAGGUGAACCAUGGAGUCACAGCCACAGUCACUUUAGGUGCUUUUCACAGAAUUGUUUAAUCAUUGAUCUCUCCCUUUGGAGAGAGGUUCUGCAUAUUCUGCAGGCAAGCAGAGAUUUUCAUAGUUUACCUCUUGGUUUGGGUACCGGAAUGAUAAAUUAUAUCAUUCUAUAACAUGAUGCCAGCCUGUUAGGAUCAAAGUUGAAAUCGCAGUCUGGGCAGUGAGGUUGCAUGUGUGCAUCACCUGUUGCCAUGGCGCUGAAGUGCCAUGUCAACUCAGCCAGCUGACUUGAAGUGAGCUCUGCUGGUUUUGCCUUUAGGGAUCUCUGUUCUUGAGAACCUUAACGUUUAUUAAGCCUGUGGUUUUAUUCGGUGUGGGGCUGGGGGACCAGGUGCCUUAUCCCUCAGCUAAACUAUUCACUCUCUCCGUUCUUCGUCACAAACCCUGAUUUUGAUGGAGGUAAUAGCUCAGCCUUAGAAAAGAAGAAAAGACAGACCUUCUCUAAUCUAUGUGGAUUUUUAUUCUCCUGCAUAAAUUCCUUCGAACUGUAAUGCAGCUGUAACAGCGACACCUGCUGGACCAGAAGAUGACUGCAUUUCCUCCAUGAACCUUGUCAGAAAUCUUGGUAUCCUGCUUUACGACAUAUGGAUCAGGUCAAGCGGUCAGACCACCCGGGUAGUAGGAGAAGCGUGACCCCCAGAGGAGCCUCCAUCUGGACGAGGAGGAGGGAUCUGUUGGUAGUGAACGCUGUCUGCAUUACACCACACAGCUGCAUGGCCGAGCACAACCACUCCGUCUACUAGCACUUCCUCUAAGUUUGUUGUAAAUGUAUAUCAAUGGUAUAGAUUUUAUCCCACACAUAUAUUGAGACAGUUUCUAUGUUUUUAUGUUACAAUACUCCUUUUAUUGCUGCUAUUAACAUGCACUGUCCACUUUGCUGCUGUAAAAAUGCAAAUUUCCCACCUGUGGGACUAAUAACGGCUGUCUUAUCUUACCUUAUCUUAUCUUAUCUUAUCUUAGAUGCUAUAUAUUGACACAUGUUCAUCAUAAAUAUCACAAAUCAUAAAUAUCUCAAAUGCUGUUGCAUUGAAUUACAAUUUCAGUUAAACUUUGAAAUAUGCUUCUGUAAUACACUACAUCCAUCUUGCAUAAUCACUUAUGCAGUAUGGGGUCACUAUGGGCCUUUGAUGGUUUUCUGAUAUAUACAUGUAUAGGUGAUCUGUACUUACGUCCGGAUGUACGGACGAAUUUAUUGUAUAGGUAUUUGAUAUUUGUUUGAUAUUCCCACCUACGUUCGCAUAUACGUAUCCCAGGGUUUCCCCUUUAGGUCAGAAGACGGUGGUUCUUCAGUAGAACAUUACGUGCAGUUCCAGAAUCCCACGCCGCGCCUAGGAGUGCUGCCCAGAUGGCCGGUCCCAGCCGUCCUGGGCCACUUGCCUUGGCGGCGUCCUGCGAGAACGUCGGGACGAGAACUGGAGAGACUGGAGGGAUGGGCAUUGCGGGCGCUGGUCUUUCUUGGCAGAUGGGGGAGAGUUUCCGGAGGACGUGGCUGCUGUCCGCGUGCCUCUAAGUGGGGGAGAGAGAACGACCGCGCUGGAAUCUGCCCAUUUCCUUUGGCUGCCCGGUCCCUGCGUGUUUCUGGAGCCAUUCACUAGCUACCGCCGUGACCCCCCCCCCCCACCCCCCCCGCUCAGCAAUCACACACAAAGCACAGACUUUGGGGCCAGGCCUGCUUACCUAAGAGAGCCAAUUAAAUGUGUUGGGUGGAUGGGUUUACCUUGCGCACCAUGAUGGCGUUCAGGGAUUUCUCUGAAGCUCCUCUCUGACUAGACAUUCCAGCAUGAAUCUUUCUCCUGCUGUCUCCGGUCUGCCAGUUCCCGUCCCUGUUCUUGCUUACCUCCCACAGGCCACCCUUGAUGACAUAAUCAAAGGCAGCCUGUCCAUUUAGUGGCCACACACAGCCACUGGAGACUGCUGAUCAAUUAGUGGGGUGUCGAUAUCAUGGUUGACAAGCGGGCCAAACAUGCUGCGUAUGUUAUGUGUGGCUGGGUGAGUGUGAAUGUCCCUGGAUAUUUGAAAACGGGCAUUAAACUGGUCACCUGUGACAGGGCCUGAUAGGUGUACCACAUUAUAAUGCCAUGCAGAGAGAUAGCCAAUAAGUGAUGAUCAAUAAUAUAUGCGCCCGGCUACAUAAACUGAAAACUACUUUUUGAAAGAUUCUCCCCGAUGUCUUGCAGUUGAGUUUUAAAUGGGUAUCAGUAAAACUGCAGACUGUGCUUCUGCUGCAGCAGAUGAAAGACUUCUGCUGGGAGACACAAUGAAGCAUCGGCACCAAGAGGCGACCAGCUUGACAGAUCCAGGUCAGUGCAGGCCUCUGCUGGGGGCUGAAGCUGCCACCUCAGGCUCCCUGGAUUUAGGGUGAUUGGAGUAGGCAGUGUAGUGAGGGAGUGGAUAGGGUGGUUGGGGGGAAGGGCAUUGUCCAAAGAACAUGCGGAGGAACGAUGGCCCCCAGGUGUGGGCGUCCGGCCUUGACGCGCGUGGGAACACGAGUAGGACAGUGUCCGUGACUCAUUUGCUGCUGUACACGUCAUGGUGUGGGCGGCCAUCUGCUGCCCUUUUCCCUGGUCUGGCUCCGCUAGGGCUGAAUCCGCUCUCACUCGCCGGCCGUGCUCCUCCCACAGUGAGGCCCGGGCCCCGAGGGACCAGGUGGUAGAGGGGAGUAACGGAACAGAGGAGAACUCUCACAUGGGGAAGAGCGGAGCAAGGGUGAAUCGGAAAACUGCUGCACACCGCGAACUCCUCAGUACUCUGUCGCUUAGGGCCCCCCCCCCCCCCACAUUUUUAGGACUUCCUCUUAUCCAAUCUCUGAAGAAUUGGUGACGUGAUGACAUUGCACUGUUACUUUGCAUCGUGUCUAUGUAUCUGUUGUUAUAAUUGUAAUUCUGUUUAUUGUAUCUUAAUUUGUUCUUGUGAUUUGCAUUUUGUGCUUAAUCUGUGUUUAUCAAAAGGACAUAGGGGUGGUGCAGUAGUUGGCACUGCUGCCUCACACAUCUGCGUUCAGGGUUCCGCGUGUGUGGAUUUUGCAUGUUCUCUCUCUGUCGUUGUUUGGUUUCCCCCCUCUGUCCAAAAACAUGUUGCGGCUAAUUAGAGUUAUCACGUCGUGUAUGGGUCUGUGAGUGAAUGGUGCGUGAGUUAAUGGUCUGUGAGUGAAUGGUACGUGAUGGUGCCCUGUGAUGGGUUAGUGCCACAGCCUGGGUUAUUUCCUGCCUUGUGCCGAUAUGCUCUGGACCCCCCCCAUGACCCUAAAUAGGAUAAGUAGUUUCAGAAAUUGGAUGGAUGGAAGGACAUCAAAGUAAGAUUCUCAUUGCAUAGUGCAAAUAAACCCUUGAAUCAU